UAAAGAAAUGGAAAAAGAAACACAAGAAAUGGAGAUGAUCUGCUACAUAAUGGGCGGCGUCUUGGUUUUCCUGUCGAUUCUCUUUUU
Molecule: non-coding RNA, 87 nt
Filed under: Euplotes focardii
Lineage: Eukaryota; Ciliophora; Spirotrichea; Euplotida; Euplotidae
Source: RNAcentral